RNAcentral lists this ribosomal RNA (237 nucleotides) under uncultured bacterium. RNAcentral describes it as "partial 16S ribosomal RNA". It matches the Rfam family "Bacterial small subunit ribosomal RNA", at positions 14 to 244 of the family's 1533-position model. The record is from RNAcentral.
GUAUCCUGGCUCAGGAUGAACGCUAGCGGCAGGCUUAACACAUGCAAGUCGAGGGGCAGCAUAAUGGAUAGCUAAUAUCUAUGGUGGCGACCGGCGCACGGGUGCGUAACGCGUAUGCAACCUACCUUUAACAAGGGGAUAACACUGAGAAAUUGGUACUAAUACCCCAUAAUAUCAUAGAAGGCAUCUUUUAUGGUUGAAAUUCCGAUGGUUAGAGAUGGGCAUGCGUUGUAUUAG